GGUGACGUUUGGUCUGAGCUGACCUUUCCUCACAAUCGUGAAUUUGGGCUGUGAGGAUCAGGCCUUGUCAGAACCCGAGAUGAGAGGAGAGAGAUUUCUGGUUCAGUAAGGGUGAGAGCCAGGCUCCAGACUAUAGUGAAUUUUCCGAGGAGAUAUGUGUGGGUCCUGAAUACCAUCCCAAGUGUCCUUAUAAGAGAGAGGCAAAAGAGGCAAUAGAGACACAGAAAAGAAAGCCAUGUGAAGAUGGAGCAGAGAGAUAUAUGGCCACAAGCCAAGGAAUGCUGACAGCUGCCAGAAGCUGGAAGAAGGCAAGGAAUGGACUCUCCCCUACAGCCUCCAGAGGCAAUGCAGCCCUGCCAACACUUUGAUUUUAGACUUCUGGCCUAUAGAACUGAGAAAGAAUAAAUUUCUGUUCUUUUCAGCUA
Molecule: long non-coding RNA, 425 nt
Filed under: Homo sapiens (human)
Lineage: Eukaryota; Metazoa; Chordata; Mammalia; Primates; Hominidae
Description: HSALNT0390885
Source: RNAcentral